This 75-nucleotide transfer RNA is filed under the name Candidatus Woesearchaeota archaeon. RNAcentral's name for it is "tRNA-His". It matches the Rfam family "tRNA". From Rfam's summary of the family: Transfer RNA (tRNA) molecules are approximately 80 nucleotides in length. Their secondary structure includes four short double-helical elements and three loops (D, anti-codon, and T loops). Further hydrogen bonds mediate the characteristic L-shaped molecular structure. tRNAs have two regions of fundamental functional importance: the anti-codon, which is responsible for specific mRNA codon recognition, and the 3' end, to which the tRNAs corresponding amino acid is attached (by aminoacyl-tRNA synthetases). tRNAs cope with the degeneracy of the genetic code in two manners: having more than one tRNA (with a specific anti-codon) for a particular amino acid; and 'wobble' base-pairing, i.e. permitting non-standard base-pairing at the 3rd anti-codon position. Lineage: Archaea; Nanobdellati; Candidatus Woesearchaeota. The record is from RNAcentral.
GGUGACCAUAGUGUAGCCUGGUAGCAUUGAAGCCUGUGGAGCUUUAGGGGCGGGUUCAAAUCCCGCUGGCCACCC